UGCUGCGUAGGGAGGACGUUGUGUGAAUCAGGAGCGGGCUGCUAGACAUGCCCGUGCCGCAAGGCCGAGUCCCUGGUUGAUGAAGUUCUGUGAAGCACAACCAAGAAAAGCCCCUACAACAAUGCAACCGUACUAAAACCAACACAGGUAGGCGAGGCGAGUAGCCUAAGGCGCUCGGGAGAACGGUGGUUAAGGAACUCUGCAAAAUGACUCCGUAACUUCGGGAUAAGGAGUGCCAUCUUCGGAUGGCGGCACGAAUCGGCUCUAGCGACUGUUUAUCAAAAACACAGGUCUGUGCGAACACGUAAGUGGAUGUAUACAGACUGACGCCUGCUCGGUGCCGGUAAGUUAAGGAAGAGGGUGAGUCGCAAGGCGUAGCCCGCAACCAAAGCUCCGGUAAACGGCGGCCCUAACUAUGAGGGUCCUAAGGUAGCGAAGUUCCUUGUCGGGUAAGUUCCGACCUGCAUGAAUGGCGUAACGACUGGAGCACUGUCUCUACCACCGACCCGGUGAAGUUGAAUCCGUGGUGAAGAUGCCACGUUCCCGCAGCGUGACGGAAAGACCCCAUGAACCUUUACUGUAUGCUGGUAUUGGUAUUAGGCAUGUCUUGUGUAGGAUAGGUGGGAGGCUGCGAAGUUGGAGCGCAAGCUCUGAUGGAGCCAACGUUGAAAUACCACCCUGGACCUGUUUGAUAUCUAACCCCGACCCGUAAUCCGGGCGGUGGACAGUGCCAGUUGGGCAGUUUGACUGGGGCGGUCUCCUCCAAAAAGGUAACGGAGGAGCUCAAAGGUACCCUCAGCCUGGUUGGCAAUCAGGCGAAGAGCGUAAGGGUAGAAGGGUGCUUGACUGCAAGACCGACGAGUCGCGCAGAAACGAAAGUUGGACCUAGUGAUCCGGCGAUUCCGAAUGGAAGGGUCGUCGCUCAACGGAUAAAAGGUACUCUGGGGAUAACAGGCUGAUCCCACCCGAGCGUCCAUAGCGGCGGUGGGGUUUGGCACCUCGAUGUCGGCUCAUCACAUCCUGGGGGUGGAGAAGCUCCCAAGGGUUCGGCUGUUCGCCGAUUAAAGUGGUACGUGAGCUGGGUUCAGACCGUCGUGAGACAGGUCGGUCCCUAUCUGCUGUGGGCGUUCGAGGCUUGAGGGAGUUUCUCUUUAGUACGAGAGGAUUUAGAGGGACGGUCCUAUGGUGUUCCUGUUGUCACGCUAGUGGCACCGCAGGUUAGCUACGACCGGUUAGGAUGAGUGCUGAAAGCAUCUAAGCACGAAGCCAGUCCCAAGAUAAGGCCUCGUUGAAGUCCCCUGGAAGACUACCAGGUUGAUAGGCCGGGUGUGUAAGGCUCGUAAGGGUCUCAGCUGACCGGUACUAACGGACGAUAGCUUGAUCUC
This 1385-nucleotide ribosomal RNA is filed under the name metagenome. RNAcentral's name for it is "bacterial LSU rRNA". It matches the Rfam family "Bacterial large subunit ribosomal RNA", at positions 1453 to 2925 of the family's 2925-position model. The record is from RNAcentral.